Molecule: ribosomal RNA, 494 nt
Filed under: uncultured bacterium
Lineage: Bacteria
Description: bacterial SSU rRNA
Rfam family: Bacterial small subunit ribosomal RNA
Source: RNAcentral
AUUGAACGCUGGCGGCAGGCCUAACACAUGCAAGUCGAGCGAGAAAGGUCUUCGGGCUGAGUACAGCGGCGGACGGGUGAGUAACGCGUAGGAAUCUACCUGGUAGUGGGGGACAACAUGGUGAAAACCAUGCUAAUACCGCAUACGCCCUAUGGGGGAAAGCGGGGGACCUUCGGGCCUCGCGCUAUCAGAUGAGCCUGCGUAGGAUUAGCGUUGUCGGUGAGGUAAAGGCUCACUAAGGGCGACGAUCCUUAGCUGGUCCUGAGAGGAUGAUCAGCCACACUGGAACUGAGACACGGUCCAGACUCCUACGGGAGGCAGCAGUGGGGAAUAUUGCGCAAUGGGCGAAAGCCUGACGCAGCCAUGCCGCGUGUGUGAAGAAGGCCCUUGGGUUGUAAAGCACUUUCAAUUGGGAAGAAAGGUUAGCGUGUUAAUAGCACGUAGCUGUGACGUUACCUUUAGAAGAAGCACCGGCUAACUCCGUGCCAGCAGCC